This 1122-nucleotide non-coding RNA is filed under the name Solanum tuberosum (potato). RNAcentral's name for it is "rRNA LSU_rRNA_eukarya". It matches the Rfam family "Eukaryotic large subunit ribosomal RNA", at positions 856 to 1888 of the family's 3401-position model. Lineage: Eukaryota; Viridiplantae; Streptophyta; Magnoliopsida; Solanales; Solanaceae. The record is from Rfam by way of RNAcentral.
GGCAAGGAGUAUAUAAGAUGAUAUGAAUAGCUAAACACUUAGUAUACGAUAUCAAAUGAAAGAGUGCAUAAACAUCCAAACUAAUGAAACCCGUGACAGCACCCAAGGUGGAGGUCCAUAGCGAUACUGACGUGCAAAUCGUUCAUCUGACUUGGGUAUAGGGGCGAAAGACUAAUCGAACCGUCUAGUAGCUAGUUUCCUUCGAAGUUUCCCUCAGAAUAGCUGGAACUCGCGUGCGAGUUCUAUCGGGUAAAUCCAUUGAUUAGAGGCUUCAUGGGUGCAACACCCUUGACCUAUUCUCAAACUUUUAAUCUGUACGACGGUGCGACUGCUUUGUUGAGUUGCACCAUGGAAUCAAAAGCUCUAAGUGGGCCAUUUUUGGGAAGCUGAACUGGCGAUGCGGGAUGAACCGAAAGCCGGCUUAUGGUGCCAAACUGCAUGCUAACCAAGAUCCAACAAAGGGUGUUGGUCGAUUAAGACAACAGGAAGGUGGUCAUGGAAGUCAAAAUCCGCUAAGGAGUGUGUACCAACUCACCUGCCGAGUAGCCCCAAAAAUGGAUGGCGCUCAAGCGCGCAACCUACACCCAGCCGUCGGGGUAAGUGCCAGACUCCGAUGAGUUGGAGGGAAUGGCGGUCGCUGCAAAACCUUGGGCAUGAGCCUGGGCGGAGCAGCCGUCAGUGCAGAUCUUGGUGGUAGUAGCAAAUAUUCAAAUGAGAACUUUGAAGGACGAAAAAGAGAAAGGUUCAAUGUGAACGGCACUAGCACAUGGGUUAGUCGAUCCUAUGGGUCGGGGGAACCCCGAUAGAUAGCUCAUUUUACACAUACUCCGAAAGGGAAUCGGGUAAAAAUUCGUGAACCGGGACGUGGCGGUUGACGACAACGUUAGGAAGUUGGUAGAUGUCGGUGGGAGCCUCGGGAAGAGUUGUCUUUUCUGUUUAACAGCAUGCCCACCAUGGAGUCGGCUCUGCCAUAGGUAGGGUACAACGGCUGGAGGAGCACCACACGUCACGUGGUGUCCGGUACGCUCUCGGAGACCCUUGAAAAUCCAGAGGACCGAAUGCCGUCCACGCCCCGUGGUACUCAUAAUCGCAUCAGGUCUCCAAGGUGAAGAACCUCUGGUU